This 253-nucleotide ribosomal RNA is filed under the name uncultured bacterium. RNAcentral's name for it is "partial 16S ribosomal RNA". It matches the Rfam family "Bacterial small subunit ribosomal RNA", at positions 524 to 776 of the family's 1533-position model. The record is from RNAcentral.
UACGUAUGGGGCAAGCGUUAUCCGGAUUUACUGGGUGUAAAGGGAGCGCAGGCGGCCUGGCAAGCCUGAUGUGAAAUACCGGGGCCCAACCCCGGGGCUGCGUUGGGAACUGCCAGGCUGGAGUGCCGGAGAGGCAGGCGGAAUUCCUAGUGUAGCGGUGAAAUGCGUAGAUAUUAGGAGGAACACCAGUGGCGAAGGCGGCCUGCUGGACGGUGACUGACGCUGAGGCUCGAAAGCGUGGGGAGCAAACAGG